CCAUAGCCCUGAUAGAAGUGGAAAUCCUUGCGGACCGGGUUCGGUCCACAAGAUUGAAGCGAAUAGCAGGAAAUAGC
Molecule: small RNA, 77 nt
Filed under: Flavobacterium sp. 1
Lineage: Bacteria; Pseudomonadati; Bacteroidota; Flavobacteriia; Flavobacteriales; Flavobacteriaceae
Description: Flavo-1 RNA
Rfam family: Flavo-1 RNA
Source: RNAcentral